RNAcentral lists this ribosomal RNA (259 nucleotides) under uncultured prokaryote. Its description in RNAcentral is "partial 16S ribosomal RNA". It matches the Rfam family "Bacterial small subunit ribosomal RNA", at positions 524 to 782 of the family's 1533-position model. The record is from RNAcentral.
UACGGAGGAUGCGAGCGUUAUCCGGAUUUAUUGGGUUUAAAGGGUGCGUAGGCGGCUUUUUAAGUCAGCGGUGAAAUUUUGCAGCUUAACUGUAACAGUGCCGUUGAUACUGGGGAGCUAGGAUUUGGUUGCUGUGGGUGGAAUGUGUGGUGUAUCGGUGAAAUGCUUAGAGAUUACACAGAAUAUCGAUUGCGAAGGCAGCUCACAAAGCCAAGAUUGACGCUGAGGCACGAAAGUGUGGGGAUCAAACAGGAUUAGA